CGGGUGAGUAACAUGUAUCCAACCUGCCGUCUACUCUUGGACAGCCUUCUGAAAGGAAGAUUAAUACAAGAUGGCAUCAUGAGUCCGCAUGUUCACAUGAUUAAAGGUAUUCCGGUAGACGAUGGGGAUGCGUUCCAUUAGAUAGUAGGCGGGGUAACGGCCCACCUAGUCUUCGAUGGAUAGGGGUUCUGAGAGGAAGGUCCCCCACAUUGGAACUGAGACACGGUCCAA
Molecule: ribosomal RNA, 231 nt
Filed under: uncultured bacterium
Lineage: Bacteria
Description: partial 16S ribosomal RNA
Rfam family: Bacterial small subunit ribosomal RNA
Source: RNAcentral